Molecule: non-coding RNA, 73 nt
Organism: Balaenoptera acutorostrata (minke whale)
Lineage: Eukaryota; Metazoa; Chordata; Mammalia; Artiodactyla; Balaenopteridae
Source: the annotation of a RefSeq genome assembly
UCCCUGGCGGUCCAGUGGUUAAGACUCUGUGCUGCCAAUGCAGGGGGCAUAGGUUCGAUUCCUAGUCAGGGAA